AGCGAACGCUGGCGGCAGGCUUAACACAUGCAAGUCGAACGGGCGUAGCAAUACGUCAGUGGCAGACGGGUGAGUAACGCGUGGGAACGUACCUUUUGGUUCGGAACAACCCAGGGAAACUUGGGCUAAUACCGGAUAAGCCCUUACGGGGAAAGAUUUAUCGCCGAAAGAUCGGCCCGCGUCUGAUUAGCUAGUUGGUGAGGUAACGGCUCACCAAGGCGACGAUCAGUAGCUGGUCUGAGAGGAUGAUCAGCCACAUUGGGACUGAGACACGGCCCAAACUCCUACGGGAGGCAGCAGUGGGGAAUAUUGGACAAUGGGCGCGAAGCCUGAUCCAGCCAUGCCGCGUGAGUGAUGAAGGCCCUAGGGUUGUAAAGCUC
Molecule: ribosomal RNA, 380 nt
Filed under: uncultured bacterium
Lineage: Bacteria
Description: bacterial SSU rRNA
Rfam family: Bacterial small subunit ribosomal RNA
Source: RNAcentral